Molecule: ribosomal RNA, 198 nt
Filed under: uncultured bacterium
Lineage: Bacteria
Description: partial 16S ribosomal RNA
Rfam family: Bacterial small subunit ribosomal RNA
Source: RNAcentral
CGGAUCGCAGGCUGCAACCCGCCUGCGUGAAGCCGGAAUUGCUAGUAAUCGCGGAUCAGCAUGCCGCGGUGAAUACGUUCCCGGGCCUUGUACACACCGCCCGUCAAGCCAUGGAAGCCGGGGGUGCCUAAAGUGCGUGACCGCAAGGGACGCCCUAGGGUAAAACCGGUGACUGGGGCUAAGUCGUAACAAGGUAAC